AUGGCAGCUAUCCGCCCUCUCAUCCCAAAGCUCGGCGAACUGCUUGUUGGCGAGUUCACCCUCGAGAAGCGCGUGAAGAAAGGCGUGGAGUCUCUUGUCAGAGAGAUGACACUCAUGCAAGCCGCGCUGCGUAAGGUGGGGAAGGUGCCAGCAGACCAGCUCGAUGAGGGGACCAAGAUCUGGGCAGGAAUGGUGAGGGAGUUGUCCUACCAAAUGGAGGAUAUCGUUGACUCAUUCAUGGUGUGUGUGGAGGAUGGUGGCAAGCCUGCCAACCCAAAGAACAGAGUCAAGAAGUUGCUCAAGAAGACCAAGAGAUUAUUCAAGAAGGGGAAGGAUCUCCAUCGUAUCUCUGAUGCUCUCGAAGAAGUGUUUGUUCAAGCUAGGCAAUUGGGCGAGCUGCGUCAAAGGUAUGAACAAGAGACGCGGGAUUCCGACGCUGGUGCUAGUGUUGACCCUCGCGUGAUGGCCCUAUACACAGAUGUUACAAAGCUUGUCGGCGUUGAAGAACCACGAGACAAGUUGAUCGACAUGUUGAUUGAAGGUGAUGAUUGGUCGAAGCAUCCAUUGAAGACGGUUUCUAUUGUUGGAUUUGGUGGGAUGGGCAAGACAACUCUUGCCAAAGCAGUGUAUGACAAGCUCAAAGUGCAAUUUGAUUGUGGUGCCUUUGUUUCAGUUUCUCAAAAUCCCGACAUCAAGAAGGUUUUCAAGAAUAUUUUGUAUGAAUUUGACAAGUGCAAGUAUGCACACAUUCAUAAUACAGAAUGGCAAGAAAGACAUCUGAUCGAUGAAAUCAUUGAAUUUCUUAAUGACAAGAGGUAUCUCAUCGUAAUUGAUGAUAUAUGGAAUGAAAAAUCAUGGGAGCUAAUCAAGUGUGCUUUCUCCAAGAAGAGUCAUGGCAGUAAAUUAAUCACGACAACCCGUAUCGUAAGUGUCUCUGAAGCAUGUUGCUCUUCUAGUGAUGAUAUUUACAGAAUGAAACCUCUCUCGAAUGAUCUCUCGAGAAGGCUCUUCUGUAAAAGAGUAUUUUCUCAUGAGGAAGGGUGUCCUAAAGAAUUGGUGCAAGUAUCCGAAGACAUCUUGAAGAAAUGUGGUGGAAUACCGUUAGCCAUUAUUACUAUAUCAAGUCUUAUGGCUAACAAGCAUCGGAUAAACACAAAGGAGCAAUGGUAUGCUUUGCUCAAUUCCAUUGGCAGGGGACUCGCGGAAGACCGCAGCGUGGAGGAGAUGAAGAAGAUAUUACUAUUCAGCUAUUAUGAUUUACCGUCAUAUUUGAGGCCUUGCUUAUUAUACCUAAGCAUCUUUCCAGAAGAUAGUCAUAUUUUAAGAGACAAGCUGAUAUGGAAGUGGAUAGCCGAGGGCUUUGUUUAUAGUGAAAACCAAGAAAGUAGCUUGUAUGAGCUCGGUAAGAGCUACUUUAAUGAGCUAGUGAAUAGAAGUAUGAUCAGUCCAAUAGACAUUGAAGAUAAUUGGGGAGAGAAGGAGGAAGCUUGCAGUGUACAUGACAUGGUGCUUGAUCUCAUAUGCUCAAUUUCAAGUGAAGAGAACUUUGUCACUAUAUUGGAUUGCACCAAGAUAAAAAUGUCUAACUCGCAAAGUAAGGUUCGUAGAUUAUCAAUCCAAAAUAGCAAAGUAGAUGUGGAAACCACCGGGAUGGCACAAGUAAGAUCUCUUUUUUGGACCAAUAAUAUUGCUGUAAAAAAACUGGAUAUUUCACGUUUCCAACUACUCCGUGUACUGGAUUUGGAAGGUUGUGAUGUCUCAGAUAUUGAAUAUGUGGGGAAUCUGUUACAUUUGAGGUACUUAGGGCUAAAAGGUACUGAUGUCCAGGACCUUCCCAUGGAAAUAGGGAGCCUACAGUUUUUGCUUACCUUGGACUUAAGAAGUACUUGGAUAACAGAAUUGCCAUCGAGUAUUGUGCAACUAAGACAUCUGAUGUGCCUGUAUAUUGCCAAUGAAACGAAGCUGCCGCCUGGGAUAUGUAACCUGACUUCUCUGGAAGUGCUAGGUGAACCGGUGUUGUCUGACAAGGACGUCAAUGUUGUGAAAGAGCUGGGCCAUCUGACAAAACUGAGGGUGCUCCGGUUUGGUUUGCAAGAUCUGAAUGAGAGUCUAGAUAAAGCAUCAUUGGAAUCCCUAGGUAAAGCUGUGGAGGAAUCCCUAGGUAAGUUGUGCCAACUGGACAGUCUCUAUAUUGUGUCUGAUGCUGAACAUCUCAAUUUGAUGAGUGACAGUUGGGUGCCCCCUGUACAACUCCGUAGAUUGCUUAUUCCCUCAAUGUCCAGUUUCUUCCAGACACUGCCAGCAUGGAUUAAUCCUUCAUCACUUCCUCUACUCGCCUAUCUCAGUUUAACCGUGGAUGAAGUGCGAUCGGAGGACAUCCGGCUUCUUGGGAUGAUGCCGGCUCUUUGUUCUCUCAUGCUUCUAUGUCUUGCUGAUUCCUCACGAGGGAAUGUGGUGGAAGUGCCUGUCCUUUCCUCUGGUGCAUUCCCAUGUGCUACAGAGUGCUACUUCGUUUGUAUUGACGUCGUGCCGUCAAUGUUUCCACGAGGAGCAGCGCCAAGGCUUAAACGCCUUUCAUUCACCUUCCCAGCUAAGUGGAUCUCCCAUGAAAACAUUGAUUUGGGCAUGCGGCACCUCCCUUCCCUAGAGGAAGUCGAGGUUUCAGUUGUAAAGGAGGAAGCUAGCGACUGGGAGGUGGAUGAAGCAAAGGCUGCGGUGAGGGCCGCAGUGGAGGACCACCCCAACCGUCCCGUCCUUGACCUACGUUACUAG
RNAcentral lists this ribosomal RNA (2772 nucleotides) under Triticum aestivum (bread wheat). RNAcentral's name for it is "partial small subunit ribosomal RNA". The record is from RNAcentral. Lineage: Eukaryota; Viridiplantae; Streptophyta; Magnoliopsida; Poales; Poaceae.